UGCUCGUGAUGGUGGUGAUGGUCACCAUGAUGUUCGUGAUGGUGGUGAUGUUUGCCAUGGUGGUCAUCGUCAUCGUCGUCAUCAUUACCAUCAUCAUCAUGG
Podarcis lilfordi (Lilford's wall lizard) is the source of this 102-nucleotide non-coding RNA. NCBI's taxonomy places the organism in Eukaryota, Metazoa, Chordata, Lepidosauria, Squamata, Lacertidae. The record is from the annotation of a GenBank genome assembly.